AAAAUAAAAAUUAAUAAUGGGGGUUAUUAAUAAAAAAAAUUUUAUUGUGUUAAGUUUUAAGUAGGGUUAUUUGAAAAAAUUUAAUAUUUAUAGUUAAUUAGUAUUGUGAAAGAAUUUUGAAAAUAUAUGAAAAUAAAUUUAUUAAAAAGUAAUUUUAAUUUAAUGUAUCUUGUGUAUCAGAGUUUAUUAAUAAAAUAAUUAUUUUUAAUUUUUUUCGAAUUUAAAAGAGAUAAUUAUUUAUUAAAGUUAUUGUUGCAUAAAUAUUUUAAAUAAUUAAUUUGAAAUGAGAUGUUAAUCGUUUUUAAAUAUAUCUAAUUUUUUUAGAAAAAAAUUUAAUUUUAAAUUAAUUUAAUAAUUGAUUUAUUUUUUUUUUAUAAUUUUAUUAUUAAAUUAAUUUUAUAUUUUAAGGGAUAAGCUUUAAAUUAAAUUUUUAUAAUUUUUUAUAUUUUUAAUUAAAAUUUUUAUUAUUUAUAUUGUAAGUAAAUUUUAUUUUAUUAUAAAUAAUUUUAUAUUUAUUUAAAAUUUAAUUUAAAUUUAAUUUUUUAUAAAAAAAAAAUUUUUUUAAUUUAAUAAAAUAUGAUAUAAUGAUAAAAUUAGUAUAUAAAUUUAAUUUAAUAAAAUAUUAUUUAUAUUUAUUAAAUUUAAGGAAUUCGGCAAAAUUUUAUGUCCACUUGUUUAUCAAAAACAUGUCUUUUUGAUUUUAAUUUAAAGUUUAAUCUGCCCACUGAUGAAAAUUAAAGGGCUGCAGUAUUUUGACUGUACAAAGGUAGCAUAAUCAUUAGUCUUUUAAAUGGUGACUUGUAUGAAUGAUUGGAUGAGAUAUAAGCUGUCUUAAAUUUAUUUGAUAGAAUUUAAUUUUUUAAUUAAAAAGUUAAAAUAUAUUAAAAAGACGAGAAGACCCUAUAGAGUUUUAUAAGUAUAAUUAAAUUAAGAAUAUUUAUAAAAUUAAAAUUAUUUAAAAUUUGUUUAUUUAUUUGAUUGGGGUGAUUAAAAAAUUUAAUUAACUUUUUUUAAUUUUUAACAUAGAUAAAUGAUUUAAUGGAUCCAAUUUUAUUGAUUGAAAGAAAAAAUUACCUUAGGGAUAACAGCGUAAUUUUUUUUUUUAGUUCAUAUAAGAAAAAGAGUUUGCGACCUCGAUGUUGGAUUAAGAUGAAAUUUAAAUGUAAAAGUUUGAGUGUUUUGAUCUGUUCGAUCAUUAAAAUCUUACAUGAUCUGAGUUCAAACCGGUGUAAGCCAGGUUGGUUUCUAUCUUUUAUUAAAAAUAAUAUUUUAGUACGAAAGGAUCGAGUAUUAAAAUUAAAUUUAAUAUUUAGAAUAUUAUUAAAAUUUAUUUAAAAUUAAUAAAAUUAUAAAAUUUGUUUAGUUUAAUAUAAUAAUGAAUGAUAAUGGGAUUUUUAUUGUUAAUAAUAAAAAUUUAUUUAAUUAAUUUUAAUUUAUAGUAUAUUUAAUUUAUUAGUAU
This 1459-nucleotide ribosomal RNA is filed under the name Dendrolimus tabulaeformis (Chinese pine moth). Its description in RNAcentral is "16S ribosomal RNA". The record is from RNAcentral. Lineage: Eukaryota; Metazoa; Arthropoda; Insecta; Lepidoptera; Lasiocampidae.